UUAACACAUGCAAGUCGAGGGGCAGCAUUUCAGUUUGCUUGCAAACUGGAGAUGGCGACCGGCGCACGGGUGAGUAACACGUAUCCAACCUGCCGAUAACUCGGGGAUAGCCUUUCGAAAGAAAGAUUAAUACCCGAUGGUAUAAUCAGACCGCAUGGUCUUGUUAUUAAAGAAUUUCGGUUAUCGAUGGGGAUGCGUUCCAUUAGGCAGUUGGUGAGGUAACGGCUCACCAAACCUUCGAUGGAUAGGGGUUCUGAGAGGAAGGUCCCCCACAUUGGAACUGAGACACGGUCCAAACUCCUACGGGAGGCAGCAGUGAGGAAUAUUGGUCAAUGGGCGCAGGCCUGAACCAGCCAAGUAGCGUGAAGGAUGACUGCCCUAUGGGUUGUAAACUUCUUUUAUAUGGGAAUAAAGUUUUCCACGUGUGGAAUUUUGUAUGUACCAUAUGAAUAAGGAUCGGCUAACUCCGUGCCAGCAGCCGCGGUAAUACGGAGGAUCCGAGCGUUAUCCGGAUUUAUUGGGUUUAAAGGGAGCGUAGGUGGACAGUUAAGUCAGUUGUGAAAGUUUGCGGCUCAACCGUAAAAUUGCAGUUGAUACUGGCUGUCUUGAGUACAGUAGAGGUGGGCGGAAUUCGUGGUGUAGCGGUGAAAUGCUUAGAUAUCACGAAGAACUCCGAUUGCGAAGGCAGCUCACUGGACUGCAACUGACACUGAUGCUCGAAAGUGUGGGUAUCAAACAGGAUUAGAUACCCUGGUAGUCCACACAGUAAACGAUGAAUACUCGCUGUUUGCGAUAUACAGUAAGCGGCCAAGCGAAAGCAUUAAGUAUUCCACCUGGGGAGUACGCCGGCAACGGUGAAACUCAAAGGAAUUGACGGGGGCCCGCACAAGCGGAGGAACAUGUGGUUUAAUUCGAUGAUACGCGAGGAACCUUACCCGGGCUUAAAUUGCAUUUGAAUAUAUUGGAAACAGUAUAGCCGUAAGGCAAAUGUGAAGGUGCUGCAUGGUUGUCGUCAGCUCGUGCCGUGAGGUGUCGGCUUAAGUGCCAUAACGAGCGCAACCCUUAUCUUUAGUUACUAACAGGUCAUGCUGAGGACUCUAGAGAGACUGCCGUCGUAAGAUGUGAGGAAGGUGGGGAUGACGUCAAAUCAGCACGGCCCUUACGUCCGGGGCUACACACGUGUUACAAUGGGGGGUACAGAAGGCAGCUACCUGGUGACAGGAUGCUAAUCCCAAAAGCCUCUCUCAGUUCGGAUCGAAGUCUGCAACCCGACUUCGUGAAGCUGGAUUCGCUAGUAAUCGCGCAUCAGCCAUGGCGCGGUGAAUACGUUCCCGGGCCUUGUACACACCGCCCGUCAAGCCAUGAAAGCCGGGGGUACCUGAAGUACGUAACCGCAAGGAGCGUCCUAGGGUAAAACUGGUAAUUGGGGCUAAGUCAUAA
This 1440-nucleotide ribosomal RNA is filed under the name uncultured organism. Its description in RNAcentral is "SSU rRNA". It matches the Rfam family "Bacterial small subunit ribosomal RNA". The record is from RNAcentral.